UUUGGGAAGUGAGUUUGACCCGGCAGUAAUUUAAGGCAGGCGCAUACUAUAUACCGUUCAAGGAAAUACGGUAAUUUUAAUUUCUUACACACACUUGUUAUUCUCCUCCCCCUCUGGCCAACAUACUUCAUAUGUUGGCCAGAAGGGGAGCAUUUCAAAUUUUUACACACACUUGUUAUUUCAUAUAUUGACCAGAGGGGGAGCACUUCUAAAAUCAACACGCAGUCAAUAUGAAAAAUCCCUCCUAUUUGGGACCACCCUAAUUUAGAUAUAUUCCACCAGCAGGUGUGCAAAUGAGACAUUCUCUAUUAGAUGCAAUGCUUUUGCGUAUUGGGACCAUGAUGUCGGUCCCAACUUGUUCACCGGUCUUCAUAUGGAAGGUACUCUUCCUGGUUGAUGUCUCAUGAAGGGUAGAAAUACAAGAACACACACACAGGAUCGGUAUGGCUCGGUUGGUAGAGUGGCCGUGCCAGCAAUUUGUGGGUUGCAGGUUCGAUCCCCGCUUCCGCCAUCCUAGUCACUGCUCUUGUGUCCUUGGGCAAGACCCUUUACCCACCUGCUCUUAGUGCCACCCACACUGGUUUAAAAUGUAACUUAGAUAUUGGCUUUCACUAUGUAAAAGCGCUUGAGUCACUAGAGAAAAGCGCUAUAUAAAUUUAAUUCACUUUACUUCACUUCUCAGCUGAAAAUUGUUAACAUGAACUUACUUUGCUUUUGAUCAUGAUCCUAACUUGUCCCGUCUCCACGAUGAAGAAACAGUCCGCCAUGUCUCCCUGCGAGUGCCACAAAGACGUCACAUGACCACACGGCGUCCAAUCCGAGCUGACAGAAGUGUUACCUGCGCGAUGAUGCGCUCGCCAUCUUUGAAGCUCCGUGCUCCCAACACGUCCACGAUCUUCAUUCUCUCCGAGAGCUGCGGGGGGGAAAUACACCUAAAGCUAUUUUAUUUUCCACAAGAGAAACGCUUUUACCCUGGAACAGAUUAUUUGCCUUCCCAUUGAAAUCUAGGGGGAGAAAAAGUGUUCAAACCUCCAAAGACUUGAGGAGAGGAACACAUUCCACGAAGGCCUCGUACGUCCUCCUCUUCUUGGCGUUGUUCUUCACCAUCAGCCGGUGGAAGGUGGCUCUGUCCUGGAAGAAGCACACAGGAAGUGGUUGAGGUCUCCUGCAGGGGCGCCUGUGCACACGUGCAGGUGGCCCUUGGCAAAGGCCUGGUACCUGACUGCCUCCGAGCCAGAGAUACGGUGAAGACCUCAAUGGCGGAAGACGGUAGAUUUAAGAACUACCACAACGUCUGCGAUGGCAGAAGAAGGCUGCAGCAGUAAAGGGUCCCCAGUCGUCUUGGACUCCAUGCCACUGGACCCUGACCCAGAGCUGUCAAGGAUCGUGUGAUGUCCGUGCAUCAGUCUCCCCAUGUUAAACAAAGUCACACACAGGCAUCCUCCAUAAAGGGAUACCCCUCUACCAGUCAUAAACUUGUCAGAAAUAACAGAAUAAUAACAGAAAUUUCCAAAAUAACAGAAAAUAAAUAAUAAUAACAGUCAGAAAGGCACGCACAGGCGUCCUCCAUAAAGGGAUACCCUCCCUACCAGGACCUAAAAAAUUAAAAUGAAUCCUAAAUUUUUUUUAUCAUAAAGAAAAACAAUUAAUCAUAAAAAAUAUAAUAAAAAAAGAAAUAAUAUUGAUAACAUUAAGUACAGAAAUAGGAACACAUAUUUCACAACGAAAACAAUAAAAAUUAAAACAUUACAAAAAAUAAAAACAUUGAAAAAAUGAGCAAAAAUUUGAAAACAUGAAAACAUUACAUAUGGUUAUGUUAUUCAUAUCCAAAAAGGAGAGGGAAGAAGUGAAACUUAUUUACUCCCACCACUUAAUUUAGGUUGUGAGUUCAAACCCCGGCCGAGUCAUACCAAAGACUAUAAAAAUGGGACCCAUUACCUCCCUGCUUGGCACUCAGCAUCAAGGGUUGGAAUUGGGGGUUAAAUCACCAAAAACUGAUUCUCGGGUUAAUGUGAGUGGGACUAAUGAGGUAUAUUGCUGCACAUAUUCAGGAUCCUUUUUAUUAAUACAUAUUUUUAUUUGCUGAUGUAUAUAUAUUAUAUAGACUUGUUUUUUAUUUCAUUAAUUAGAGACUAUUUUAUGCUUUAUUUACCUUUUUUUAUUAUUAUUAUUUCCACAUGUAAGCAUAAAUAAUUGAGUUGAGUGCACUGACGCUCGGAGCUGUGGAGAGAGAUCUUGUUUACUGUGUGACGCCCUGUUUUUCUUUCCAUUCGAAAAAAAAAAAGGAAAAAGUGAAUAAAUCCUCCACGACUUAACUCCUGUGUGUGCAUCCCUAUAAAAGACAACGCAGAACAGUAACUGUUACAUACCGUAUUUCCUUGAAUUGCCGCAGGGCAUAUAGUAUGCGCCUGCUUUGAAUUACUGCCGGGUCAAACUCACUUUGCAAAAUAAUUAGUGCAUGCUUAGUUUCACUGCCUGGUCAAACUCCUGACACUUCCCCUGUCAUCAUUUUCAAAAUGGAGGAGGCUGAUUUCAAUACCGGUAAUUUGAAAUCGCAUAAAGGGAAGAAGAUUAAGAGCUAUUCAGCAGGAUUUAAGGUCCAAGAUUACAUCACACUCAAAUUUUUACUGCAUGCCUUUGGUAAGUGCCGGAGUGAGCAGUGGUUUUAAAAUAAUUAGCGCAUGCUUACUUUUACCGCAUGCCUUUGGUAAGCGCAGGAGUGAGAAAAGGUUUUAAAUUAAUUAGCGCCCCGGCGGCAAUUCAAGGAAAUACGGUAUACAAUGUAUAAUGUAAUGUGUCUAUCUGCAAUCUUUAUAAUUAAAAUUAAUGAAUUAGAAAUUAAUUAUUUUAGUCACUGUUUGAUAUUAAUAUGUAUUAAUAUAUUUUGCGCCUGUUCAUAAUUUCUUAUGUUACUGUAUGGAACUUGGUCCAAUCUUCUAUUUUGUGUGUUUUGCAGCAUCAUCUAUUGCAUGGAUUUUUGCCUACAAUUGCUCCUGCUGCGUUCGCUUAAUCAAUGACGCCUUUGCGGGUCGUUUUGCCGCCUCGCUUGUGGUUGCCCUGGCCCUGCAGAAUCUGCGUGAAAUGCUGCACGGCGAAUUCCACCAAGUUUGCGGGCCUGUGGCGAAGCACCUCCACCGUGUAUUUCUGCAGCAGCUCCUUCAGGCCGGCCGGGAUGUCGGCGGUACUCAUUGCUUGCCGUCAGAGCUCAUCCAACUCUGUGCUAAAAACACAUUAAGAGUCCCCUCUUUGCAUACUUGACAGCCGCUUCAUUGAUUGCGUUAUCUGGCACAGCCUGUUGGAAAGUAUCGACCCACUCUUUCCCCCCCAUGACUGCCUAAUGGCAAAAGAAGGACACUGGAAAAAUACGUGUUUUCACACUUUAUGCACCGCUAUUGGGCGGCUACACAUCCUUAAAAAGUCUAAUUACACAGAUUUCCUUUUUAUUCCCUACACGCUAACAUUCAUAGAGUGCUGAAUCAAUGUCAACAGUUGUGAAGUGUGUGUAUGUGGUCAGUGUGUGUAGUGUUGUAUUGCAGACACACUAUAAAAACAAAUAUACAUUGUCCCUGAUAUGUUCAGCUUCUCAAAGAAGGUAGAGGUACAGUAAGGCACCAAAUGUUCAAUUCCUUCACUGCUUCUCAGCAGAUAAAGCACUGCAGAACAACU
Long non-coding RNA from Nerophis ophidion (straightnose pipefish), 3666 nucleotides. RefSeq lists it as uncharacterized. The record is from RefSeq and is a predicted model, not a curated record. Lineage: Eukaryota; Metazoa; Chordata; Actinopteri; Syngnathiformes; Syngnathidae. The transcript is spliced from 3 exons.